RNAcentral lists this ribosomal RNA (253 nucleotides) under Blautia obeum. RNAcentral describes it as "partial 16S ribosomal RNA". It matches the Rfam family "Bacterial small subunit ribosomal RNA", at positions 524 to 776 of the family's 1533-position model. The record is from RNAcentral. Lineage: Bacteria; Bacillati; Bacillota; Clostridia; Lachnospirales; Lachnospiraceae.
UACGUAGGGGGCAAGCGUUAUCCGGAUUUACUGGGUGUAAAGGGAGCGUAGACGGACUGGCAAGUCUGAUGUGAAAGGCGGGGGCUCAACACCUGGACUGCAUUGGAAACUGUUAGUCUUGAGUGCCGGAGAGGUAAGCGGAAUUCCUAGUGUAGCGGUGAAAUGCGUAGAUAUUAGGAGGAACACCAGUGGCGAAGGCGGCUUACUGGACGGUAACUGACGUUGAGGCUCGAAAGCGUGGGGAGCAAACAGG